UCCAGACUCCUACGGGAGGCAGCAGUGAGGAAUAUUGGUCAAUGGGCGCGAGCCUGAACCAGCCAAGUCGCGUGAAGGAUGACGGCCCUACGGGUUGUAAACUUCUUUUGUCAGGGAGCAAUUGAGUCCACGUGUGGGCUUAGCGAGAGUACCUGAAGAAAAAGCAUCGGCUAACUCCGUGCCAGCAGCCGCGGUAAUACGGAGGAUCCGAGCGUUAUCCGGAUUCAUUGGGUUUAAAGGGUGCGUAGGUUGUUUUAUAAGUUAGCGGUGAAAUACCGAUGCUCAACAUCGGGGCUGCCGCUAAUACUGUAGGACUAGAGAUCGGAUGCAGCAGGCGGAAUGUGUAGUGUAGCGGUGAAAUGCAUAGAUAUUACACAGAACACCGAUUGCGAAGGCAGCUUGCUAGGCCGGGUCUGACACUGAUGCACGAAAGCGUGGGGAUCGAACGGGAUUAGAUACCCUCGUA
RNAcentral lists this ribosomal RNA (466 nucleotides) under uncultured bacterium. RNAcentral describes it as "bacterial SSU rRNA". It matches the Rfam family "Bacterial small subunit ribosomal RNA", at positions 330 to 792 of the family's 1533-position model. The record is from RNAcentral.